RNAcentral lists this ribosomal RNA (870 nucleotides) under uncultured crenarchaeote. RNAcentral describes it as "bacterial SSU rRNA". It matches the Rfam family "Archaeal small subunit ribosomal RNA", at positions 1 to 879 of the family's 1478-position model. Lineage: Archaea; Thermoproteati; Thermoproteota. The record is from RNAcentral.
UUCCGGUUGAUCCCGCCGGACCUGACUGCUAUCGGAUUGAUACUAAGCCAUGCGAGUCAUUGCAGCAAUGCAAGGCAUACGGCUCAGUAACGCGUAGUCAACCUAACCUAUGGACGGGAAUAACCUCGGGAAACUGAGCAUAAUGCCCGAUAGAACACUAUACCUGGAAUGGUUUGUGUUCCAAAUGAUUUAUCGCCGUAGGAUGGGACUGCGGCCUAUCAGUUUGUUGGUGAGGUAAUGGCCCACCAAGACUAUUACAGGUACGGGCUCUGAGAGGAGUAGCCCGGAGAUGGGUACUGAGACACGGACCCAGGCCCUAUGGGGCGCAGCAGGCGAGAAAACUUUGCAAUGUGCGAAAGCACGACAAGGUUAAUCCGAGUGGUUUCUGCUAAAGGAACCUUUUGUUAGUCCUAGAAACACUAACGAAUAAGGGGUGGGCAAGUUCUGGUGUCAGCCGCCGCGGUAAAACCAGCACCUCAAGUGGUCAGGAUGAUUAUUGGGCCUAAAGCAUCCGUAGCCGGCUCUGUAAGUUUUCGGUUAAAUCUGUACGCUUAACGUACAGGCUGCCGGGAAUACUGCAGAGCUAGGGAGUGGGAGAGGUAGACGGUACUCGGGAGGAAGUGGUAAAAUGCUUUGAUCUCUCGAUGACCACCUGUGGCGAAGGCGGUCUACCAGAACACGUCCGACGGUGAGGGAUGAAAGCUGGGGGAGCAAACCGGAUUAGAUACCCGGGUAGUCCCAGCUGUAAACUAUGCAAACUCAGUGAUGCAUUGGCUUGUGGCCAAUGCAGUAUUGCAGGGAAGCCGUUAAGUUGCCGCCUGGGAAGUACGUACGCAAGUAUGAAACUUAAAGGAAUUGCGGGGGGAGCAC